AGUGAACGCUGGCGGUAGGCCUAACACAUGCAAGUCGAACGGCAGCACAGUAAGAGCUUGCUCUUACGGGUGGCGAGUGGCGGACGGGUGAGGAAUACAUCGGAAUCUACUUUUUCGUGGGGGAUAACGUAGGGAAACUUACGCUAAUACCGCAUACGACCUACGGGUGAAAGCAGGGGAUCUUCGGACCUUGCGCGAUUGAAUGAGCCGAUGUCGGAUUAGCUAGUUGGCGGGGUAAAGGCCCACCAAGGCGACGAUCCGUAGCUGGUCUGAGAGGAUGGUCGGCCACACUGGAACUGAGACAGGGUCCAGACUCCUACGGGAGGCAGCAGUGGGGAAUAGUGGACAAUGGGCGCAAGCCUGAUCCAGCCAUACCGCGUGGGUGAAGAAGGCCUUCGGGUUGUAAAGCCCUUUUGUUGGGAAAGAAAAGCAGCAGGUUAAUACCCCGCUGUUCUGACGGUACCCAAAGAAUAAGCACCGGCUAACUUCGUG
RNAcentral lists this ribosomal RNA (492 nucleotides) under uncultured bacterium. RNAcentral describes it as "partial 16S ribosomal RNA". It matches the Rfam family "Bacterial small subunit ribosomal RNA", at positions 29 to 507 of the family's 1533-position model. The record is from RNAcentral.